AAGUAGGCAAAAAGAAUGGGAGGAUGGGGACUGGGGAUGUUCUAGUUCAGGUUGAUUUUAUUCAGUGAUAAAGCAUUUGCCUAGCAUGUGUGAGGCCCUGAGUUCAAUUCCUAGCACAGCAAAAAAAAGGGGUGGGGGAUGUACAGGGAAUAGCUUGUACUACAGGCCUUGUGGCAAGAGAAAAUAAAAUGAAACAAAGAAACAAAGACCAGGCAUGGUGGUGUACCCUGUAAUCUCAGCUAAAACUGGAGGAUCUCAAGUUCAAAACCAGAUUUAAGUGGUAGACCACCCUUGGGUUCAAUCUUCAUUACCAUGAAAACAAAACAAAACAAAGAAGGCCCCUGUGACUGGAGAUGAAUAAGUUAAGGGAGAGAAAAGAUGGAUCUAGAUUCGCGUUGGUUCCUAAUCUUGUUUGUUUUUCAUUCUGAAAACACUAGGAAUCAUUGAAGAAGGCUCUUUUUUUUCCUCCAUUUUUUGAGGGAAGGGUGGUACUUACUGAGGAUUAAACCCAGGGCCAUGUGCUUUACUACUUACUGAACUACUACAUCCCUGGCUGCCCAAAUUUUAUUUUUUCUUUUUAUUUCUUUUCCCUUUUUCGGUUGUAUUUUUUCAUUUUGAGCAGGGUCUUGUUAAACUGCUAAGGCUGGCCUCAAACUUGUAAUCCUCUUGCCUCGGAGCCCAAAGUUGCUGGAAUUAUAGGAAGGAGUCACUACACCCAGUAUGGAUUCUAAAACUUUUUAAAAGCUUAUUUUGGCUUCAGUGUAGAGAUUUGGAUUAGAGUUGUAAAGGAACAAAACGAAAUGGAGCAGCAUUGUCUCAGGGUACUUCAGAUGGAGUCAGAAGAUCAUUGUUAAUCAGAUCUCAGACAGCUUUGCAGCUGAACCUUUGAAAUGGGCUACAAGAAGAUCCAUCUUCAUACCCCAUGAGAGCUGACCUUUUUGUUAAACACCACUGACUGCUUUCUAUAAAGGGACCUUUUCCCCAAAACCACCCAGAGACUGAAACUGCACCCAGUUCCUUUCUUGCAAAACAGCUGAACUUCUGC
RNAcentral lists this long non-coding RNA (1045 nucleotides) under Marmota monax (woodchuck). The record is from RNAcentral. Lineage: Eukaryota; Metazoa; Chordata; Mammalia; Rodentia; Sciuridae.